Molecule: transfer RNA, 72 nt
Filed under: Bos taurus (domestic cattle)
Lineage: Eukaryota; Metazoa; Chordata; Mammalia; Artiodactyla; Bovidae
Also listed under: 3 other names
Rfam family: tRNA
About the family: Transfer RNA (tRNA) molecules are approximately 80 nucleotides in length. Their secondary structure includes four short double-helical elements and three loops (D, anti-codon, and T loops). Further hydrogen bonds mediate the characteristic L-shaped molecular structure. tRNAs have two regions of fundamental functional importance: the anti-codon, which is responsible for specific mRNA codon recognition, and the 3' end, to which the tRNAs corresponding amino acid is attached (by aminoacyl-tRNA synthetases). tRNAs cope with the degeneracy of the genetic code in two manners: having more than one tRNA (with a specific anti-codon) for a particular amino acid; and 'wobble' base-pairing, i.e. permitting non-standard base-pairing at the 3rd anti-codon position.
Source: Rfam by way of RNAcentral
UCCCUGAUAGCUCAGUUGGUAAAGAAUCUGCCUACAAUGCAGGAGACCCAGGUUCGAUUCCUGGGUUGGGAA